UUUCAGAUGCAGUGUAAAACCAGAGACACUUAAUAUUUGACAUUAAUACCAUAACGCAAUGAGCCAAAAACUUAGAGAUGCACUUGCGUGAAGUCGAUAUAAUUCAUUUAAAAUACUUGUGUUACACAAUAAUAAUUAGUUUUAUGUUUCUUUUUGUGAUAGCGAUUCGUUUAAAUGUUCUUUUGCACAUAAAAUUGGCUUGAAAGUGGUUUUAGAUUUGAAAAAAAAAAGUGGUUUUAGAUAAUAUAUAAAAUACUUGGAGAAAAAAUAAGAUCUAAGUAUUACAGAGAGUUGAACUUCAAAAAAAAAAAAACUAGAGUAUAACAGAGAGACAUGUAUUUAUAUAGAUGGAUAAAUUGACAUUAUAGAUUCAAGAUCACGCGUUUGAACAAAAAAAAAAGAUUCAAGAUCACGUUUAAAACAACAAACAAGAGUUUACAUAAUUACAUAACAGUGACUUGACCUAGUCUCAUACUGAUUAUGUCGAAUAUCUUAGGAUGAGAUAAAUUGUUAUAGAUUUCGUCGAUCAUAAUGGAGGAAAAAUGUUGUUAUCUUGUAGUUGGUUCUC
This 568-nucleotide long non-coding RNA is filed under the name Brassica rapa (field mustard). RNAcentral's name for it is "long non-coding RNA (BRAP_LNC006624)". Lineage: Eukaryota; Viridiplantae; Streptophyta; Magnoliopsida; Brassicales; Brassicaceae. The record is from RNAcentral.